This 1394-nucleotide ribosomal RNA is filed under the name Moraxella sp. P75. RNAcentral's name for it is "bacterial SSU rRNA". It matches the Rfam family "Bacterial small subunit ribosomal RNA". The record is from RNAcentral. Lineage: Bacteria; Pseudomonadati; Pseudomonadota; Gammaproteobacteria; Moraxellales; Moraxellaceae.
ACACAUGCAGUCGACGAUGACUCUCUAGCUUGCUAGAGAAGAUUAGUGGCGGACGGGUGAGUAACAUUUAGGAAUCUGCCUAGUAGUGGGGGAUAGCUCGGGGAAACUCGAAUUAAUACCGCAUACGACCUACGGGUGAAAGGGGGCGCAAGCUCUUGCUAUUAGAUGAGCCUAAAUCAGAUUAGCUAGUUGGUGGGGUAAAGGCCCACCAAGGCGACGAUCUGUAACUGGUCUGAGAGGAUGAUCAGUCACACCGGAACUGAGACACGGUCCGGACUCCUACGGGAGGCAGCAGUGGGGAAUAUUGGACAAUGGGGGCAACCCUGAUCCAGCCAUGCCGCGUGUGUGAAGAAGGCCUUUUGGUUGUAAAGCACUUUAAGCAGGGAGGAGAGGCUAAUGGUUAAUACCCAUUAGAUUAGACGUUACCUGCAGAAUAAGCACCGGCUAACUCUGUGCCAGCAGCCGCGGUAAUACAGAGGGUGCGAGCGUUAAUCGGAAUUACUGGGCGUAAAGCGAGUGUAGGUGGCUCAUUAAGUCACAUGUGAAAUCCCCGGGCUUAACCUGGGAACUGCAUGUGAUACUGGUGGUGCUAGAAUAUGUGAGAGGGAAGUAGAAUUCCAGGUGUAGCGGUGAAAUGCGUAGAGAUCUGGAGGAAUACCGAUGGCGAAGGCAGCUUCCUGGCAUAAUAUUGACACUGAGAUUCGAAAGCGUGGGUAGCAAACAGGAUUAGAUACCCUGGUAGUCCACGCCGUAAACGAUGUCUACUAGCCGUUGGGGUCCUUGAGACUUUAGUGGCGCAGUUAACGCGAUAAGUAGACCGCCUGGGGAGUACGGCCGCAAGGUUAAAACUCAAAUGAAUUGACGGGGGCCCGCACAAGCGGUGGAGCAUGUGGUUUAAUUCGAUGCAACGCGAAGAACCUUACCUGGUCUUGACAUAGUGAGAAUCCUGCAGAGAUGCGGGAGUGCCUUCGGGAAUUCACAUACAGGUGCUGCAUGGCUGUCGUCAGCUCGUGUCGUGAGAUGUUGGGUUAAGUCCCGCAACGAGCGCAACCCUUUUCCUUAUUUGCCAGCGGGUUAAGCCGGGAACUUUAAGGAUACUGCCAGUGACAAACUGGAGGAAGGCGGGGACGACGUCAAGUCAUCAUGGCCCUUACGACCAGGGCUACACACGUGCUACAAUGGUAGGUACAGAGGGUUGCUACACAGCGAUGUGAUGCUAAUCUCAAAAAGCCUAUCGUAGUCCGGAUUGGAGUCUGCAACUCGACUCCAUGAAGUCGGAAUCGCUAGUAAUCGCAGAUCAGAAUGCUGCGGUGAAUACGUUCCCGGGCCUUGUACACACCGCCCGUCACACCAUGGGAGUCUAUUGCACCAGAAGUAGGUAGCCUAACGCAAGA